AGAGUUUGAUCCUGGCUCAGGAUGAACGCUAGCUACAGGCUUAACACAUGCAAGUCGAGGGGAAACGACAUCGAAAGCUUGCUUUUGAUGGGCGUCGACCGGCGCACGGGUGAGUAACGCGUAUCCAACCUGCCCAUCACUUGGGGAUAACCUUGCGAAAGUAAGACUAAUACCCAAUGAUAUCUCUAGAAGACAUCUGAAAGAGAUUAAAGAUUUAUCGGUGAUGGAUGGGAAUGCGUCUGAUUAGCUUGUUGGCGGGGUAACGGCCCACAAGGCUACGAUCAGUAGGGGUUCUGGAGAGGAAGGUCCCCCACAGUUGGAACUGAGACACGGUCCAAACUCCGUACGGGAGGCA
RNAcentral lists this ribosomal RNA (355 nucleotides) under uncultured bacterium. RNAcentral describes it as "bacterial SSU rRNA". It matches the Rfam family "Bacterial small subunit ribosomal RNA", at positions 8 to 350 of the family's 1533-position model. The record is from RNAcentral.